AGUGGCGCACGGGUGCGUAACACGUAUGCAAUCUGCCCCUAACAGGGGAAUAGCCCGGCGAAAGUCGGAUUAAUACCCCAUAACAAUGUGAAUCGGCAUCGGUUUAUAUUUAAAGCUCCGGCGGUUAGGGAUGAGCAUGCGCGACAUUAGCUAGAUGGCGGGGUAACGGCCCACCAUGGCUACGAUGUCUAGGGGGUCUGAGAGGAUUUUCCCCCACACUGGUACUGAGACACGGACCAGACUCCUACGGGAGGCAGCAGUAGGGAAUAUUGGGCAAUGGACGCAAGUCUGACCCAGCCAUGCCGCGUGAAGGACGAAGGCCCUAUGGGUUGUAAACUUCUUUUGUACGGGAAGAAACCCCUCUACGUGUAGGGGGCUGACGGUACCGUAAGAAUAAGGAUCGGCUAACUCCGUGCCAGCAGCCGCGGUAAUACGGAGGAUCCAAGCGUUGUCCGGAUUUAUUGGGUUUAAAGGGUGCGUAGGCGGAUUACUAAGUCAGAGGUGAAAGUUUGCAGCUUAACUGUAAAAUUGCCUUUGAAACUGGUAGUCUUGAGUAUAAUUGAGGUGGGCGGAAUGUGUCAUGUAGCGGUGAAAUGCUUAGAUAUGAUACAGAACACCGAUUGCGAAGGCAGCUCACUAAACUGUAACUGACGCUGAGGCACGAAAGCGUGGGGAGCAAACAGGAUUAGAUACCCUGGUAGUCCACGCCCUAAACGUUGAAUACUCGUUGUUGGCG
Molecule: ribosomal RNA, 736 nt
Filed under: uncultured Pedobacter sp.
Lineage: Bacteria; Pseudomonadati; Bacteroidota; Sphingobacteriia; Sphingobacteriales; Sphingobacteriaceae
Description: bacterial SSU rRNA
Rfam family: Bacterial small subunit ribosomal RNA
Source: RNAcentral